This is a non-coding RNA of Ceratotherium simum simum (southern white rhinoceros), 109 nucleotides long. Lineage: Eukaryota; Metazoa; Chordata; Mammalia; Perissodactyla; Rhinocerotidae. The record is from RefSeq and is a predicted model, not a curated record.
ACAUUUAUGAUUUUUCCUAUAACAAAUCCUGGUGAGGAUGCGGAGCAACGGGGACUCUCAUAUAUUGCUGGUGGGAAUGCAAAUUGGCACAGCCACUUUAGAAGACAGC